GGCCCAGCUUCGCGCUCGGGCCACAUCUGACUGAGGGUCGGUCGAUUGAUGAACGAAGGCGGUUGUCUUGGCUUUGUCUAUACCCCGUCUUGAUUGCCGGUAGGUUAGAAAAAAAGUCUAUGCCCGCUGACUCUGGGGGCCGCGCGGCUUCAUCGCCCGCGAUCCCUUAAAUCGAAAUCGGGAAUCGAGGGCUUUACUGCUUUCAAAAGUCCCCUCUUCGAAAUUGAAACAGUCUUUCGUGUACGUGAGUACGAGGCGGCUGCCUCAAGAUCUAGGCGACCGCUCUUCGCGGUGACCAGAUUCCAGAUGAGUCGUCGAGUCGAAAGCUAACGUACUCUCUCGGUACAGUAACCGCCGUGUGUGCAGUGUGUGUGUCGGUUCGGACGAGAGAGAGAGGGGUUAGAUACGACUCGAUGCCGUGCCGUAAUGGAUUUGGCUCGUCACUGCCGUUUGAUCGUUGGCUCUCGCGCUGUUGUGUGUGUGAAGCCUCUCGAACACUCGUGCGCCGGGCGUGUUGUUGACUCAACCACCGCGUAUGCGAGUUAUUAGGAUGGCCGUGUACAGCGCGACUGGCCUUUGUUUUCUGUGCACUACGAUCGACUGUCAAACAUAACAAAAAAUCAUAUCUGACCUCAGUUUAGGUGAGACUACCCGCUGAACUUAAGCAUAUCAGUAAGCGGAGGAAAAGAAACUAACAAGGAUUCCCUUAGUAGCGGCGAGCGAACAGGGAAGAGCUCAGCACCGAACCUCGCGCCCGGCAAAGCGGACGCAGAGGAAUGUGGUGUUUGGGAGAACCGUGCGUGUCUGUCCGGUAUAUUCAUCCAAGUCUCCAUGAACGGGGCGAGCAACCCACAGAGGGUGUCAGGCCCGUAGACCAGAUGAGCCGAGACCGUACAUCGGGUUC
This 904-nucleotide ribosomal RNA is filed under the name Chydorus sp. 40Yuk34. RNAcentral's name for it is "eukaryotic LSU rRNA". The stretch from base 628 to 904 matches the Rfam family "Eukaryotic large subunit ribosomal RNA", at positions 1 to 254 of the family's 3401-position model. The record is from RNAcentral. Lineage: Eukaryota; Metazoa; Arthropoda; Branchiopoda; Diplostraca; Chydoridae.